AGAGCGAUGCUUAGAUAAGCAAGGAGGUUGGAGGGCAGAUUAGUAUACUAUUUUUCAUGGGUCGGUGUCGAUUACCAAUUUGGAGUUGCAGAAUGGGAGUUUGAUUGUGCAGAAGUGGAGAUUUGGGAGCUGGUUUGAUGGGUUGAUUAACGGUGAGGCUUACACUCGAAGAGCCUGAACCUGGCUCACUGUUGUCAAGCUAACACAUUCGGAUAUUCCCGAGGAAGACAGAUAUUGGAAUGCAACUGUGGUGGAGAAUACAGAGAGAGUUUGUCGGGAUCUUUUUUUCCAGAGGAUACGGGCAUGUUUUUGGUUUUGGA
Non-coding RNA from Prunus mume (Japanese apricot), 320 nucleotides. The record is from RefSeq and is a predicted model, not a curated record. Lineage: Eukaryota; Viridiplantae; Streptophyta; Magnoliopsida; Rosales; Rosaceae.